UAGUUCCCUGAGAAGAAACUGUUUCUAC
This 28-nucleotide non-coding RNA is filed under the name Mus musculus (house mouse). The record is from RNAcentral. Lineage: Eukaryota; Metazoa; Chordata; Mammalia; Rodentia; Muridae.